This is a non-coding RNA of Microcebus murinus (gray mouse lemur), 8849 nucleotides long. The record is from RefSeq and is a predicted model, not a curated record. NCBI's taxonomy places the organism in Eukaryota, Metazoa, Chordata, Mammalia, Primates, Cheirogaleidae.
CUGACUAAAUGAUACUAAACGUUAUAAUAGUAACGUGCCUUGCUCUGGGAUCUGGGGUAUGAUGUGACUCUAGGUAGCCCUUGGCAAAAUCCAGUUAGUGACUUUGGAUGAUGGUCCGUGUUUCAAAUAACCAGACAAACCAAAUUGGCACAAUUCAGAAUCGUGGGUUACCUGUUAAGGACAAGCACACCGAUGGAAAGAAGCCUCCAGAGAGAUGUUUGAGGCAAUUAAUACAUGCUUUAUGUAUGUCAUUCCUGAUGUAGGCCUGGAGCACUCCCUUGCAGUCUUUUCUGGCUAAUUCUGCUGCCCUAGGUCUCAGUUCAUGAAUAACUUCUGCUCAGAUGUCUUCCGUGACCCUCACACGUGUGUCUACUGCUUCUUAUGGUCACGUCUAAGGUGACGCUAAUGGGAUCACAUUGCUCCCUCCAGCCAGCCUGCCUCCCUCUCUUCCUCCCUCUGCUCUUCUUUUCUCCUUUCUUUCUUCUUCUUUUCUCCUUCUCUUUUAUAGAAGCUUUCAUCACUGUGGAGGAUAUAUUAGUCUGUUGUGGUUAGGGGAAUACUGCAGGUGUGACAUGGCUCUGUGCCACAUGGAGAAGGAGCACAAUGUCACUUCCGAGGUUUGUCAUGAACACCCUGAUAGAUUCUUCAGGUGAAGUGAGAGGCCUUUCUCCCUGCUGUGCUGUCAAGGCUGAGAAGCGAAAGGAAAAUUCAUGUGUCCUGUGGCAAGUGCCUGUGGUCUCACUACUGCACUAAAUACAGUUCUGCCAGGUUUUGUGUUAGUUGAUAUUCUGUGAAUGGAGUUAACAUCUUCUGAGUUUUCUGGGAGUUUGUAAAUUAGACAACCUGGAGUGAUUCUUUUUGCCCAGCGAGGUAUCUAUGAAAUAGUACAAGUAAGUUUUGGUGAAUCAUUGUUACAUAUUAAAUAUCAACGUCAGUUCCCAGAACACGUUAUUCAGUUUCUACACUAAGCCCUACUCGACCUGAUGCUAAGUAAUGUUGGGGAUCUUUGUUGUUGUUGUUGUUGUUGUUGUUUUGGGGGGUUGGACCCAGUUUCCCAUGGACACCAAAGAGGAAGCUCACUAGCAAGUUAGUCAUCCUUUGCCUCAUCCACAAGGUAGACAUUUCUUAGUUCAUUUUCAAGCAGGAUUUUCCUUUUUGAUUGCCUUAAUCAGGGAAAAGACAGCCUUUCUAAAGGAGAUACCCCUUAGUCUCAGUGGAAUUAAGAAAAGCAAAUACUUAAAAUUAAAUUUUAAAAGACCUGAACUCAAAAAGAAGACAAUUGAAAUAUUUACUUCUUAUGUCUUUAUAUAUGAAAAAGAUGUGUUCUCUACUCUAUAAUAAAUGAUCACAAGAGACUUUAUAGACACUGACUUGGGAAAGCUUGAGGAGAGCUAUCACUACUGUGUGUUUUUUGAUUUCAUGCAUGCUCUCUGUUUCCAUGCCUAGUGAAUUCCCAUUUGAAUCUUUUGAAUUUCAAGUCUUCCAUAAGUUAAGACCAGGAAGCUGCUUCAGAGACAUCAUAAUCUGCAAAGAAAAAUAUUCUUUCAGUCUUCCAGAACACUACCUAUUGCCUGGCCCCAGGGAUGGGAAAAGGUGAGCUUUCAAAGGGCAAUUGCAAUGAAGGGCAUUGUGGUCCACACUGAAGAUUUUGACUUGUUUCCUGCAGAUGAUGGCAAAUGUUUGGAGAAUUUGGGGAGAGGAGGAAGAGAAUCAGAAUUUUCUUUUCGACAUACCACUGGAGGUUGUAGGGAGGAUGCGUGUGGAAGCAGGAGACCAGUUGGAAGCUGUUGUAGGAGUCGGUAUUUUCCACUCCCAUGCCAGCUUUGGGACCUGGUUCCAUUUCUCCUCAAGGUUUGUAGGAAGAAAAUUUUCACUGGUACUAUUUCUAUAAUAUAUUAUUCUAUGUAUCUUUCACCCUUCUACCAUUACUAUAUAUAUAAUCAACAAAAUGGGGAAAUCUCACUUUGGGAGACUUCCUCAUAAUCUUUUCCCUCAGGGACUUGAUUUGCCCAUUAAAAUAGGCAUGAAGAAGCUCUUCUGUGAAAUCUCCUUUUCCACUGGUGGCAUGAAAGCCUAUGUGUUUCUUGAAUUUGGCCACACCCCAGCAGGUGAACCCUUUCUACUCCCCAUCAUAGCUGUUGGUGCUUAUCGAAGGCUUCCUGGGGAGGCUCUGGAGGGGUUCAUCCUAACUCUCAGGGAGUUGGAUAUUCCCUAGGGUCAGCUGGCUCUUCCCUUGGGAUGGAAAGAAGAUGGAAUUCUUGGUGUGUGCAAUUCUUAAGCAUGCCUGUGUCACUAGGAAUUUGUCUUCCUGUUUUAAAAUUAAGUCUAAUUUCAAUGUGAGUCUGAGGGGAGAAUACAAUUUUCAAGCCAGAUUUCUUCCCCAGCUGAUGUUUCAAGUAGGAAGAAAGUUGGGCUGGGAGUCUAGAGAACUAAGUUUUACAUGUACUCCAUCAAUAAUUUAAAUAAAAAAUUAAAUAAAAUUUUAUAGUAUAUAAUUUUUAUACUAAUUUUUGCAGAUAAUUUUAUUUAUUUGAUUUCUCUUUUGAUUUUAGCCUAGGGACAUAUUUCAGGAAAUCUUCCCAUCAACCUGUCCAUCCCAAUCUAUUUUUCUCUUCCCACAAUGUCUCUAGCUUGGACAUCUUCAAGUCAUCUAGCUUUCUUCAAUCACUCCUUAAAAGCAAAAUGUCUUGAACUCUCAUCUCACACAUUAGAAGAAUCCCAGAACUUUCCCAUAUCUCUGAGGGGAUGGGGGACAGGUAUGUAAGUGAGUCCACCUUACAGCAAUAGUCUACAUUAAUAAUUGACUACUGAUUCUGCCAUUUCCUCUGUGACUUUGGUCAGGUUACUUAACCUCUCUGUUCUUUAGUGGAAACUAGAAAAAUCUGAAAAAUAGAAUAAUUAUUAUAUCUACCUCCUAGACUUGCUUUGAGGAUUAAAUGAGUCAAUAAUGUAAAGGAUUAUUAGAAGGACUGAAUAAGUUAAUAUAUAGAGAAUGCUUAGCAAAGUGCCUGGCACACAGUGAGCAUUGUAUAGGUGGUAUUUAUUAUUAUUCUUUUCACAGCUCAUUUUCCCAUUGCUUACUGGCUCCUACCUCCCACCGCCUGGCCUGCCAUUGCUGCAAAGGCUUCUCUGCAGUUGCGCCUUAUGGCAGACACCAGCUUCCUUUCUUCAUUCUCCUUUAGACAGUGCACGUGCAAGGCUAUUGUGAGUAAUAGUAAUAGCGAAUCACGGCAAACAUAGACUGAGUACUGACCUGUGCCCAGCACUGUUGUAAAGAUGUACUUUACAUCUCUGAGCUUAUUUCAUUCUCAUGCAAACUCAGAGAUAAAUAUGAUGCUGAUGAUUAUCUCAUUUUGCAGAUGAAAAAGUGAGGCACAAAACUGUAAAUAGCUUGCCCAAGGUAACCAAGCGAGUACAUGGCGAAGCCAGGUGUUUAAACCAUUGUUAACUUAUCAUUCCCUUAGCACUUGCAUGUACAGAAAAGCAUCUUUUUUCCUUCCACGGAAUGAUGUCAGUACGCUAUUCUGCUGAUUUGGUAAAAGCCAACUUCCUUGUCAAUGCUGAAGGGGGUGGGGCACAGAAAGAAGGAGGUGGAUUUUUAGUGUGUAAUGAUGAGCUGAUAGAAACGGCUUAAAUAUGCUGAGCACCAGCUGUGUGUUGCGCAUUGUGUCCCUCCGUAUAUAUGCUUCAAGGGAUUUCUCGAAACCGCAGUCAUUAAUCAUUAUUGUCAUUUCCCAGGGGAGGAAACUGAGUCCUGGGAAGGUAAGGACUUGCCCUCAGGUCACCCUGCUCAUGAGCUGUGCAGACAGGUCCACCUGCCCCACAGCAUCCGGGACAGGCUCUUUUUACCAUAUCGUCUUGCAUCCCUCAAAGUCAACCCCGGGCCUUUCCGUCUUUAAGGGUUCCAUGCCCUUAAUUGGUUCCAAUCAGUAAUUUUUUUGGUAGUUCUCUUCCCUCCCCCCCCAAUCCCCGUUUGUAACCUCUGUGACCCAGCUUUUCUUUUAAACUGCUUUAAAUCAUAUCCAUAAGUAUUUAAGUGUCUACAAUAUUAAAGUUAGGUAGAAGUAGCUAAAUGGAUUAAGGAUGCUUAUUAAAAUGUUUUGCCUCAUUAUUCCAGGGGGCCAUAAAUGUGAUGUUAGUAAGUACCAUUAAACUUCGUUCUAUCAAUAACACUUGGUUGAUAGCAUUAGGCACUGUUAAGGCACAGUCUCUGUACUUGAAGUGGUCACCUAGGGAAAGGAGUGUGUGUAUAUGUGUGUUGUGUGUGUGUGUGUUUGUGUGUGUGUAGGUACCAUUGCUCAUCAAGUUCAACAUGGAACAUGACUCUCCCAACCCUCUAUGGUUAACUCAAAGCAGCCACCUUGUCGAGCUGCUUUGUUUGCUGUUCCAGAUUGUUUCGGGAAUGUGUUUUAAGUGUUUACAUCAGACUUUUAAGAUCACCUAUGGGCCUGAAUUGUUUCGCGUGGCUGCUCAGCUUAAUUGCAGGGCAGUUACCGUAUUCACGUUGCUAUCGCUGGUGAUGGGGUGUUGCCAGAAAACUCUGGAUUGCGUACCUUUAAGCCACGUACGGUCCCCCCUCCCCUGGGGUUUCCAGAACUUGCUGAUUGGCAAUGGUCAGCUUCCCAGAAGCUGAUGAAUUGUAGUAAUGACUUUUAUGUUAAUGUGCUCUAAAGGUGACUUUCUUUAAGCUUUUUGAUCACUAUGUGAAAAAGGAGUGUUGAGACAAACUGCUGUGUAACAAAUUACCACACAUUUCUUGGCUGAAAACAACACCGAUCAUUCUCUCCUAAGGCGCUGUUCAGAAGGCUUGACUGGGGUCUCUGCUCAGGGUGUCACGAGGCCAGAAUCAAGGUGUUAUGAGAGAUUUUGCACAUGAGAAAUAUUUUCUCCUCUCGUAGCUAUAGAUUAUGUGACUGCUUUAAGGACAAGCUGUCCCACAUGACUUGAUACUCACACCUGACCAUUUGGCUGUAGAAAUUUGAGAGGUGAAUGUUUUGGCAUCCUGUCUAACUUGAGGCAACUGAGUCUCAGUAUUUAUUCAGGAAACGCAAUUUCUUCUCUUAAUCAACUAGUGGACCAUCUUUUCCCUGACAUUUAUACAUACUGUGGGUAUAUUUUAGUUUGUCUUAAGGCACUAUAUUGAAAGUCAGCAUAUCUAAAUUGGGCUUUCAGCUCUGACAGUUGUGCAAAUGAUUUUCUUUUGCCUCUAUUUUUUCCUCUGAGGAUGAUACUGAUACUACUUUUUACUCUUUAAGUGUAUUUCAUUUUGCAAAAUGCAUGCUCAGCAGAGGCCCAGUGAGUGGUUUGUAUAACUUCUUGAUCUCACUGUGUUUUUUCCUAGGCCAAUGUUCAUUUUAGUCUAUCAUGCUGGGAGAAGUAACCUUCUUGCCAGGUGGCUGUGCAUGCCUUAGCCCUUCCCUUGUAUCAGUCCCUUGGAUACCUAAUGCAGUAAUAGUAUGUAAUAUUUGUAUUACAUUUUACAAAUUCAUAAAGGGAACACGACCCAUUUGCUAUCUUACUUAAUUCUUUCUAAAAUUCUGUGAGGUAGAUAUUAUUAUUUCUACUUUACAGAUGGGAUGAAUAUGAUUCGGGAAAUUAACUGACUCAUUCAAGAUCACAGUAGAAAUAGAGCCAGGACUGCAACUGAAGUGUUAUGACUUCAAAUCCAGUGUUGUGUCUACUUCACUCCAGCUAAGCAGUAAGAGGACAAUAGUGCUCACAGCCAGGGCCAGCAGUGUGUGCAGUAAACUUCAGAUAUGAGGAAUAACUUCAGUUUUUAGUCAUUUUCUUUUCUUGCACUUAUUUCAACUCUAAUUUUUGAUCCCUUUGAUUUUUCUUCUUACACGUGUUUUCCUAGAAUCCAAAUUAGCAUAUUGACAUUGUCCUCAUAAUAGGACAAUAAUAGUCCCCAUAAUAGUCAAUAUCCGCCCUGGGCCACCGCCACAUGAUUGAGGGCAGGGACUAUCUAUAGUGUUGCCUCAGUGUCAAAGAAGUUGUACCAUUUUUAUACCAGUCUCAAAUGUUUGCAAUUUCAUGUUAUCUCACCAAUAGCUGAAGGUUGAAAAGGGAAGGCCUGUAUUGUAGGAAAUCUGCAGGUAUUUGUUAUUCCGUAGGACCUAUGUCUUUGAGAUUCUGUGGACCUCCUUCACAGAAUAAUUAGUAUAAGACUUUAUGCAUAGAACUUUCCAUACAAAUCAAGAAAUUCACUCUUCCCGAGUAUUGUCUCCUAAUCCCAUAGCUAAUGCAAUGAUUCAUGUAUCUAGUAAUCCCAGCGAUGGUUAAUUGCUGGAGAACACUGGCUGGUGGCUAGAGAAUGCUGGUGGCUAAAGGAGGAUGCUCUGAAGCCAGGCUGCCUGAAUUGAAAUCCAGGUCCUGGCAUAUACUAGCUAGGAGAUGUUGGCAAAUAACUGAAUCUCUCUGUUUCAUCUAUAAAAUGAGGAAGAUAAUAGGACCUACCUCGUAGGGUUGUUGGGAGGAUUGACGAAUUGUUCAAUGUAAAACACUGGGAACAAUGUCUGUCACUGUGGUAGGCAGGAUGUCUCAAAUGGCCUCCAAAGAUGUUCAGCCCUAAUCCUCAGGACCUGUGAAUAUGGCGAAACAUCUCUUGCAUGAUUAUAUCAUGUAGGCACAGUUGAGCUUAAAAUAGGGGAUUAUCUGGGUGGACCUAAUCUAAUCACAUGAACCCCUUUAAAAGCAAAGAGCUUUCUUAAGCUGCUGGCAGAACAGGAAGUCAAAGAGAUUGCAAGAACUUCCCAAUAAGAGCCCAGCUAGUUUAAACCCUGAUGUCAAUCUUAUGAGAUCCUGAACAGAGAACCCAGUCAAGCCUGCCUGGACUUCUCAACUACAGAACUAGGAGAAUCAAGACAACUCUUUUUUCUUUUGAGCUCUUGAUAUCUUAAAGCAACUGGGUAAAGUAUUCUUUUGUGAACAAAACUGAAACAUUUACCUUUCACUCUCUACCUGAAGCCUCCAGAAUUUGAAAACUAUUCAUAAGCACUCUUAAUUUCAUGGCAAUAUAGUUAUUUGCAUAAGUUCAAUAAGAACCUAUUUUCUUUAGUAAUAGGACACAUUACACAUUGGUAACUUUGGUUAUUUUACCAAGGCUUUGACUGGAAUGUCAUAUUUUCAAAUAUGACAACACAACUUUGAGGGACUGAGAGUGACUUUAUAAGGCCAAUAGACUUGGAAAAAGACUGGCUGGGUACUUCAUCCACGUGGUUCCCUUACAGGGUUCCUGACCUUGUAAGUAAAGAAUGUCACCUUUGGGCAGGCCCAGGAACCUCAAAUUAUUUUGAGCACCUCAAGAAGAGAGGAAUUUAUCCAGUUUGUGCCAUUAAUACAGACAGUCUGAUGGUGAAUCCUUGGCUUGGGUUCCUAGCCUCAAGAGGCUUUUAAAAGUCUAAUUUGAAAUCCCUUAUGAAAAAGUUCCAGCAAAGCCAGCUAAAAGGAGAAUAUAUGGCCAAUCGCUAUUUUUCUUGCACUGUAUGCAAAUAAUCAAGCCAAGUAUAAUAAAACCAAAAAUAAUAUUGCAAAUAAAUUGGCUCACUAUGAUUUCUCUUUGGUAGAUAAGGAGGAAUGGAGAGAGAAAAAACAUGUUUCGAUAGAAAACUUUAGCACACCUGUUAUUAGAUUUUAGCCCUAAUCAUUGUUUUUGAGGUUUUUUUUUUUUUUUAAUUUGCCUAUAAUUUGAACUGAAUACUGGAUUAUUUCCUGGUUACAACAAGUCUCUAAGGAAGAAGCUGGAUUUUAUUUUCUUCAUGGUGUUUUUAGUUGGUUCCCUAAUGGAAUAGGUUCUUUUUUUUUCUGUUCUGGGAUACAAAUUAAUUGUUUGAUUAUCAUCCUUAUGUGCAUUUUUUGCACUAUUCAAAUUAUUAGUCCUACAUAUCUCUUGUUGCUUUAUUUCUAAGGAAACCAAAAUUAUGACAUUCUGAAGACUACAAAUGAUUCAACAAGCAACAGCGGCUAUAAAUCAAUGACUUGUUUAGUUGGUUACCCUCUGGACUAAGUUUUUUAUUUUAUUCUAGUGUUCUAGUUGUUAUUAUUAUGAUCAUAAACAUAGUUGUUAUUUUCCUGGCUAUUAAAUUAUUCAUGAUUUGUAUUCCUGCUUGUUUUAGAUCAAUGGCUAAGACCAAAAUAAUGGUCACCCAAUGACAGGGGGAUGACUCAUUAUUCAGAAGAAUAGCGUGUAGCCUCAUGUCAUGACCCACCCCGCGUUGCUAGUAGUCUGGACUGCCUGCAAUAACAAGGUGCUUUCCCCCACCAGGAGACAUGCCUUCUGGGAAUGAGCCUUCCCAACACCAAGAAAUGAACAUCUGUCACUCUUAACUUCAGCGGAGCUUGAUCAUCAGUGCUUCUAGGAGAAGAUUUUGAUCAAAGAGGAAGGGGGAAAUGAUAACCUACAGCUCACAUUUGAUAGUUUACAUUCAAAGAAAACAGGCUUACAAAUUAACCUACCUUGGGAAGGUCUUGUGAUUCAAGGAGACAUACUGUUCCUGAGUAAGGAAUCUUGUCAUGAGUUCCUCACAUUGUUGACCUACUGAUUAAUGCAUAACCUACUGACACUGAAAAGGAAGCUGAUUUGUUUCUGAAUCCUAAAGUUUUACUGACUGUCUCACAGGUAGACAUUUUAGCUUGUCUCUUGUAAUUGGUAUCUAAUGAUUCUAACGUCUAUAUUUUAAACCUCCAAUGAAAAUGGACAACUUCAGGAUGAGGAAUCCCUCUCCCUUCUCUUAAACUCUCUUACAAAAGCCUUCCAACUUGUAACAGUCUCUGAACCACGCCCAACUUUGUUAAUCUGUCUUCCAGAGUUAAACCAUACAUUUGCCUUCCAAUAAACCUUUGUCAAAUUA